This is a long non-coding RNA of Arachis duranensis, 542 nucleotides long. RefSeq lists it as uncharacterized. NCBI's taxonomy places the organism in Eukaryota, Viridiplantae, Streptophyta, Magnoliopsida, Fabales, Fabaceae. The record is from RefSeq and is a predicted model, not a curated record. The transcript is spliced from 2 exons.
UCUUAGCUCCAUUUGAGGUUGUGGAAAGCAAAAUUGUGCUGCAAAAUGGCAGAGAGGUGCACUAGGUACUUUAUCCAAUGGGGCCAAGGCUCCGGUGCAACAUCUACAUAGGAGAAUACAUUAGAGUUUAUGAAAGAUUAUCCUUGUUUCAACUUUGAAGACAAGGUUGACGUUAAAGAAGGUAAUAAUGUUAUGAAUAGAGGGGUAAAUAAGGAAAGAAAUAUUGUAACAAACUACAAAAUAAAUGAAGUAUACACCACUAAUGAUAGUUGGUAAGGCGACAAGGAUAAGUGUCAGACAAUCCGCAAAUUCAGAAUCUCAAAAAGGGGCAACAGAAGAAGAGCUACAAAUAGGAAGUUGCAGGAUUUUUAGUGGCAGCUGAAUGUGGUCCUUGACGUAGAAUGUCCUCUACAUCCACGUACCUGUAUUCCUUUCGUAUUUCCUAAAGUUAUCUAUAUUUCGUUUAUUUUUCCAUGUAAUUACUCAUACCAGACUUCAGCGUUACAUUGAUUAUUGAAUUUCUAUUACUGUUUCUUUGAUUA